UCCCUAGUGGUCUAGUGGUUAGAACUCUGUGCUUUCACCACCUGGGGCCCAGGUUCAAUCCCUGGAUGGGGAA
This 73-nucleotide transfer RNA is filed under the name Ovis aries (sheep). It matches the Rfam family "tRNA". From Rfam's summary of the family: Transfer RNA (tRNA) molecules are approximately 80 nucleotides in length. Their secondary structure includes four short double-helical elements and three loops (D, anti-codon, and T loops). The record is from Rfam by way of RNAcentral. Lineage: Eukaryota; Metazoa; Chordata; Mammalia; Artiodactyla; Bovidae.